AUGUCUCCUCUAGCAACGAAUAGCCCGCAGCAUCGCGCCGGAGAACGCCCGGAAGCUCCACGUUGCAUCCCCUAUUUCCGCCCGUCGUACACGCAGGAAGAUCAGUUCAAGAGGAAAACUACGUCAGUCCAACCUGUAAACCACGACAGUUCAAGAAGGAGGCUCGCCGCCUCAAGGACCGGGUUACAGGCCCCGGUCUCCGGCCAAGCUGCCGUCCAGGGGUUCGACGCCGUCGGGAGUCAGACGCCUUGGGAGGUCACGCCGUAUCCCGCCUGCAUGCGUCCCUCGCCGACGCAUCUCCAACUCACCAUGGACGGCUUCCUCGUCGGGCUCGAUCUUCUUCUCCAGCCUCUUGCUGCCGGCACCACCACGGGAAUUGCAGUCGCAACCAGAUGGCACACCACCACCGCGAGCCACUCGUCGGCGACCACCAGCCCAUUUCAUGCUCGUUUGUACUUUCUUUUCUUCUUACUCUGGUUCAGAUUUUGGUUCGAAAAGAAGAUCAAAUACCAUAUAACUGGAAUUAACCGAUGCAAGUCGAAGAAGGAUUGGCCGGUGCUGCCAGCUGGCGUCAAGUUUGAUCCCACGGAUCAAGAGCUGAUCGAGCACCUUGAGGCCAAAGUGAGUGCUAACAGCGCGAGAUCUCACCCUCUCAUCGAUUUGUUCAUACCAACCAUCGACAGCGAGCACGACAUAUGCUACACCCAUCUUGAGAAACUUCCAGGUAUCACACUGAGUGGCCUAAGCAAGCAUUUCUUCCAGCACAAUUCCAGGGCGUUCAAAAGGGGCACGUGGACACGUCGCAAGAUACAGUCAGAGUGCGGCAUGCACGCGAUGUGGCACAACACCGGCAAUACCUUGCCGGUGAUGGUCAACGGCCGGCAGACGGGCAGCAAAAAGGUUCUGGUGCUGCACACCAACAAGAACUUCGACCAGCAGAGGACCAACUGGUCGAGCAAGUUUCAACUGGGCUGUAGACUGCACAGGCUUGGUUUUGUUUUUAACAGGCCCAGCCCAUGA
RNAcentral lists this ribosomal RNA (1020 nucleotides) under Triticum aestivum (bread wheat). RNAcentral's name for it is "partial small subunit ribosomal RNA". The record is from RNAcentral. Lineage: Eukaryota; Viridiplantae; Streptophyta; Magnoliopsida; Poales; Poaceae.